GUUAGGAUUUCAGCAUAUGAAUUUUGAGGGGGACACAGUUCAACAAUCUUCUGUUCAGGUUCUCUCUGUACUUUUGCUCACCAGUACAUAGAACUCUAAAAUGGCUGCUCCAUGGGCCCCUAAAGGGCAUAGCUUCCAAGUGGCUAUACCAGUUGACAUUCCUACCAACAACACAUAAGGAUUUCUUUUUCUCCACAUCCUAUGGAUAAUUGCCAGUGACAGAAAU
This is a long non-coding RNA of Mustela lutreola (European mink), 226 nucleotides long. RefSeq lists it as uncharacterized. The record is from RefSeq and is a predicted model, not a curated record. Lineage: Eukaryota; Metazoa; Chordata; Mammalia; Carnivora; Mustelidae. The transcript is spliced from 3 exons.